AGCAGGGUGGCGCAGUGGAAGCGUGCUGGGCCAUAACCCAGAGGUCAAUGGAUCGAGAACAUUUCCUGCUA
This 71-nucleotide transfer RNA is filed under the name Paramuricea clavata. It matches the Rfam family "tRNA". Rfam says of the family: Transfer RNA (tRNA) molecules are approximately 80 nucleotides in length. The record is from Rfam by way of RNAcentral. Lineage: Eukaryota; Metazoa; Cnidaria; Anthozoa; Malacalcyonacea; Plexauridae.